GCCAGACCCUUCGGAGGGAGGGGCUUUCCGGAGACAGGCUUGCACGCAUGCGCAAAGCGGGGGGCGGGGCGCUGGAGAGAGCGCGGCUCGUUCACGCACGCGCGGUGCAGCCUGCCGCCUCCGUCUGGUCGCUAAGCAACCUCUCGUUGCUUUAAAUUUAAGUAUAAUUUCUCAGUGAGUAGGCGACCUUGGUGGGUCUGGCUCUUCCCAGCUCUCCUGAGAAUGUCACGUUGUUGAACGUGACGAGAACAAUUACCUUGAGCUUUAACUGACUGUAACACUAGUUGGAGCCUGUUCUUGCCAACACCAUCCACGCAGCCUGAUAGCAACUGCUGUGUAAUUUAACUCUCCAGGUAUUGGUGUGGUGGGGGCAGAGGCAAAAUGGUAUCACACACACAAGGAGGACUCAACACUUUCCAGGAGCUACUAACAGAUAGACAUCCAGAAUCCAAAUGAAAGGUCCUGAGUUCAAGUACCAGCAACCACAUGGUGGCUCACAACC
This is a long non-coding RNA of Mastomys coucha (southern multimammate mouse), 502 nucleotides long. RefSeq lists it as uncharacterized. The transcript is spliced from 3 exons. The record is from RefSeq and is a predicted model, not a curated record. NCBI's taxonomy places the organism in Eukaryota, Metazoa, Chordata, Mammalia, Rodentia, Muridae.